AGAUUGAACGCUGGCGGCAGGCCUAACACAUGCAAGUCGAGCGGCGGCACGGGUACUUGUACCUGGUGGCGAGCGGCGGACGGGUGAGUAAUGCCUAGGAAUCUGCCUGAUAGUGGGGGGAUAACGUUCGGAAACGGACGCUAAUACCGCAUACGUCCUACGGGAGAAAGGUGGGGGAUCUUCGGACCUCACGCAAUCAGAUGAGCCUAGGUCGAUUAGCUAGUUGGUAGGUAAGCCUACAAGGCUACGAUCGUAACUGGUCUGAGAGGAUGGUCAGUCACACGUGGAACUGAGACACGGUCCAGACUCCGUAGGGAGCAGCAGGUGGGAAUAGUUGGACUAGUGGGAC
Molecule: ribosomal RNA, 349 nt
Filed under: uncultured soil bacterium
Lineage: Bacteria
Description: bacterial SSU rRNA
Rfam family: Bacterial small subunit ribosomal RNA
Source: RNAcentral